Molecule: ribosomal RNA, 394 nt
Filed under: uncultured archaeon
Lineage: Archaea
Description: bacterial SSU rRNA
Rfam family: Archaeal small subunit ribosomal RNA
Source: RNAcentral
ACUGCUCAGUAACACGUGGACAACCUACCCUUGGGUUUGGCAUAAUCCUGGGAAACUGGGUAUAAUUCCGGAUAGGUCACAGAUGCUGGAAUGCACUGUGGCCGAAAGCUCCGGCGCCCAAGGAUGGGUCUGCGGCCUAUCAGGGUUGUAGUGGGUGUAACGGACCUACUAGCCUACGACGGGUACGGGUUGUGAGAGCAAGAGCCCGGAGAUGGAUUCUGAGACACGAAUCCAGGCCCUACGGGGUGCAGCAGGCGCGAAAACUUUACAAUGCGGGAAACCGUGAUAAGGGAAUCUCGAGUGCCAGCAUAUAAUGUUGGCUGUCCAGAUGCCUAAAAAGCAUCUGUUAGCAAGGGCCGGGCAAGACCGGUGCCAGCAGCCGCGGUAAUACGAU